GACGAACGCUGGCGGCGUGCCUAAUACAUGCAAGUAGAACGCUGAAGGAGGAGCUUGCUUCUCUGGAUGAGUUGCGAACGGGUGAGUAACGCGUAGGUAACCUGCCUGGUAGCGGGGGAUAACUAUUGGAAACGAUAGCUAAUACCGCAUAAUAGUAGAUGUUGCAUGACAUUUGCUUAAAAGGUGAAAUUGCAUCACUACCAGAUGGACCUGCGUUGUAUUAGCUAGUUGGUGAGGUAACGGCUCACCAAGGCAACGAUACAUAGCCGACCUGAGAGGGUGAUCGGCCACACUGGGACUGAGACACGGCCCAGACUCCUACGGGAGGCAGCAGUAGGGAAUCUUCGGCAAUGGACGGAAGUCUGACCGAGCAACGCCGCGUGAGUGAAGAAGGUUUUCGGAUCGUAAAGCUCUGUUGUAAGAGAAGAACGAGUGUGAGAGUGGAAAGUUCACACUGUGACGGUAUCUUACCAGAAAGGGACGGCUAACUACGUG
This 495-nucleotide ribosomal RNA is filed under the name uncultured bacterium. RNAcentral describes it as "partial 16S ribosomal RNA". It matches the Rfam family "Bacterial small subunit ribosomal RNA", at positions 28 to 507 of the family's 1533-position model. The record is from RNAcentral.